The sequence is a ribosomal RNA, 611 nucleotides long. It matches the Rfam family "Eukaryotic large subunit ribosomal RNA", at positions 1 to 628 of the family's 3401-position model.
GUGUUUUUGUCGUCUCUGGUCUGCCCCCGGGGGUUUCCUUUUUUAAAUCCCCCCAUAGGAGGAAAAGGAACCAACAGGGAUUGCCUUAGUAACGGCGAGUGAAGCGGCAAAAGCUCAAAUUUGAAAUCUGGCACUUUCAGUGUCCGAGUUGUAAUUUGAAGAAGGUAACUUUGGAGUUGGCCCUUGUCUAUGUUCCUUGGAACAGGACGUCACAGAGGGUGAGAAUCCCGUGCGAUGAGGUGUCCAAUUCUAUGUAAAGUGCUUUCGAAGAGUCGAGUUGUUUGGGAAUGCAGCUCUAAGUGGGUGGUAAAUUCCAUCUAAAGCUAAAUAUUGGCGAGAGACCGAUAGCGAACAAGUACAGUGAUGGAAAGAUGAAAAGAACUUUGAAAAGAGAGUGAAAAAGUACGUGAAAUUGUUGAAAGGGAAGGGCUUGAGAUCAGACUCGGUAUUUUGCAAGCCUAUCCUUCGUGGAGAGGUUUAUUAGCAGCUUACCGGGCCAGCAUCGGUUUGGAUGGUAGGAUAAUGGCAUUGGAAUGUGGCUCCUCGGAGUGUUAUAGCCUUUGUUGAUACUGCCUAUCUAGACCGAGGACUGCGUCUUGACUAGGAUGCUG